Molecule: ribosomal RNA, 663 nt
Filed under: Triticum aestivum (bread wheat)
Lineage: Eukaryota; Viridiplantae; Streptophyta; Magnoliopsida; Poales; Poaceae
Description: partial small subunit ribosomal RNA
Source: RNAcentral
AUGUCCGGAUCCGGCUCUCAGGGCAAGUGGGUGGCCUCCUCCAUGACGGAGAAGGACAUCAAGGAGCUCCGGGGGGCGGGGUACCUGAGCGCGGACGUUGUGCACAGGAUCCCUGCCAAGAAACAGGUCAUCCCCACCCCGGAGCCCGGCGAAAGGGUGGUUUUUAUCCCCCACUUCCUCUGCGGACUAGGGUUUCCCCUCCAUCCCUUUGUCCGCGGCCUCAUGUUCUAUUACGGGCUAGAUUUCCAUGAUCUAGCCCCGAAUUCCUUUCUCCACAUCUCGGUGUUCAUCGUCGUGUGCGAGGCGCUCCUCCGCAUACCCCCACACUUCGGCUUAUGGCUCAAGGUCUUCAAAGUGAAGCCGAAGGUGGUCGAUGGGCAGCAUGCGGACUGCGGCGACGCCAUGGCGAGCAAGCUCCCCAACGUUACCUGGCCCAAAGGGGUCUUUGUGGAGACGGUCAAGAUAUGGCAGCAGGAGUGGUUCUACAUCACCGAACCUCGUGGCGCCAACUGGGCGGCCACUCCUGAAUUUAGGUCCGGACCCCCAAUGCGGCUCGAGUCGUGGACCAACAAGGGUUUGGACUGGGGGUCAACUGACGAAGUGAUGCUGCUGCAAAAGCGCAUAAAAAAAUUAUUGAAAAGAACACCAACCUCACCGACGUGA